RNAcentral lists this long non-coding RNA (505 nucleotides) under Heterocephalus glaber (naked mole-rat). RNAcentral's name for it is "lncRNA (ENSHGLG00100045860.1)". Lineage: Eukaryota; Metazoa; Chordata; Mammalia; Rodentia; Bathyergidae. The record is from RNAcentral.
GGAAAUAGGAUGGCAGUGAAAAUAACAUGUGCCAGGCACCUCACACCCGGAAACAGCAGAUUGUUCUCCAUAGAAGCUGCACCAUUUGCAAUCUCACCAGAAGUGUAAGAAGGUUCCAGUUUUUCCUUCUCCUUGUGGCAAUGGAAAGAACACAAAGAUGAAUCAAGACGCUGAUGUCUGGCUGCUAUGGGUGUGAUGUGAGGAAUCAGCCACAGACCUGGAGCCAGAAGACCUGGGUAGCAAGCCCACUUCAGUCCCUGAGGAGCCUGCAGAGCCACAACUGUCAAGAGCCAAUGAAGGGUUACGUUGUGAUGUGGUCUCCAGUGCGCUUUUGAAAACUUGGUCUCAAAGCAGAGCUGGAACGGACUGGAGAGGGGCAGAUGUCUUCCCAUUACAGCAUGAAUCCUGCUGGGGGGAUGAGAAACGAGGGGGAGAAGGAAAAGUAAUAGAUCCACACAGGAAUGGUGCCUCUGGGUAGCAGUGUCGAGUUGGGAAGAUGGAUAAG